RNAcentral lists this ribosomal RNA (253 nucleotides) under uncultured bacterium. Its description in RNAcentral is "partial 16S ribosomal RNA". It matches the Rfam family "Bacterial small subunit ribosomal RNA", at positions 524 to 776 of the family's 1533-position model. The record is from RNAcentral.
UACGUAGGGUGCAGGCGUUAAUCGGAAUUACUGGGCGUAAAGCGUGCGCAGGCGGCUCCUUAAGUCAGAUGUGAAAUCCCCGGGCUUAACCUGGGAACUGCGUUUGAAACUGAGGGGCUAGAGUGUGGAAGAGGGGGGUGGAAUUCCAGGUGUAGCAGUGAAAUGCGUAGAGAUCUGGAGGAACACCGAUGGCGAAGGCAGCCCCCCGGGCUAACACUGACGCUCAUGCACGAAAGCGUGGGGAGCAAACAGG